UCUUGCCUGUGGACUUUGGAAACUGUUACAUAGCCAGUGCUUCUGGUGUAUGAAACCCAGUCGGAAUAGUGAGAAGUUUGUUGGCGGCUGUUUUCUUCCUGGACACUUCUGAGGCUAAAAAGGGGAAACUGACUUUCCCUUUUGAAGGGGAAAAAAAGGGAGGGGGGGAAAGGGAGAGCUAACACUUGCUUUUGUUUUUCUUCUUUGAAUUUUUCAUUGCUUGCCUAGGACAGCCAGGUUGGAAUCCUAUUCUCUGUCUGCCUGGCUGUCUUAAAUAGAUAGCAGAGCCUUCAAAGAAAACUCUUUCAUCUGUCGUUAGUAUCUGUGCUCUGUGCUUCCCUGGAAUUAUGCAAAACAGAGGGAACUGCUUGUCUUGGCUAGCUGUAGCAGGAUAGCCAUUAGGAAAGGAUCGAGAGAGAAAAUGCAGGAGAAAUCUGGGUGUAAAGGUUAACAGUGAGGUAGAAGUAGGGAUAUAUUGGAUAGGGAUUUCCGUAGCACCUGAACCGUUGAUACCACAUUAUACCACACAGAAUAAUGUGACAGAAUAGUGCAAAUGUCAUUGUGAUGGAAAGGCGUUAAAUAAGAAAAAUUAUAAUCCAGAGUAAUCACUUACUGGCUAAAAGGAGGCAAUAUGAUCUGGAGGUAACACAGAGCAAACCAGUUACUUCUGCUUAAGAAAAAAGCUGAUGAGGGUAGUUCUCUGAUGACAACUGCAGAGAAAGUGUGUUUUGAGUUCCUGUAUGAAGACUGUUAUGAGUACAGCCAGAACAGGAUUCUGUGUCUGUGUGAAAACCUUUCAGAGCUAUGGCUAAUAGCCAUUUCUUUGGAUGACGUAUGUCUGAAAAACACACCAAGUUGGGGGAAAAAAAAGGAAGUUUUGUAACGCCAGACCUUAAAAGUUUAAUGGUUUUAGUCCUUUUUUCUCAAGUUAAAUUGAAAAGUCUGUAUUUAUGAAUUGCUGACAGACUUGGCAAGACUUUUUAAAAAAAUUCAUUGUGUUCAUUGUGGUUUAGAACUAGACAGUUACCUCCAUGUAGAUGUGAAGUGGGAUUCAUUCCUCCUUCUGAACUUUGGGCGUGUGUUGUAGGUUUCCUCGGGGGACCUCCAGGGAAAAGAAGGUGAAUACUGAUCAGAUAUAACGGCUGAAUUAGGUUAAAUUAAAUUAAAUCAAAUAAUAGGAAAAUAGUUGGUCUUGUUACUUGUGAUGUCUUCAGUGUAAAAUUAGAGGUUUGGAGGCACUUGUUCACUCCUUUAGGAUGCUUCAGUUUCACAGAUACUAACUGUAGGAAGAAUCCCAGUAUAAAGGAGUUGCUUGCAGCUGCAGAUGUUCUUAACAGAAACAUUGCUCAGCUCAGGGCAAGCGCACAAGUUUUCCUGGAAUAAGAAGCUUUUCCAAGAGCACUGUUCUUAAAACAGGGAUUAUGUAGACUGCAUAGUGACUGGUGUCCACUAUAGUACAGUUGAGUACCUGUACUCAAUUUGAGGGGAUAAAAAAAUAAUGAAAAUCACUUAGUAAAUUAAUAGCAGCAACAAUUUGAGUAGAAGAUAUAGAGGAUAGAGCCUCUUACCCUGGCAGAAAAAGCUAGAAAUGAGCUGAUACAGUACUGCUUGUUUAGAAUGUUAUAAAAUAGUAUUUUCUAAAUUUUUGAAUGUUUGAAUUUGAAUGUUCUGAAUUUUAAUGUUCUGUCAAUGGUUCUGUAAGCUCUUGCUGGUUUAUUUCCUGUGAAAUCUGUAAUGUUUGUGAACCUUCACACCUAAUUUUGAAGCUGCUGUUCUGUUGAUUGUGGGGGAUUUUUUUGACACAGAAGCUAAUACAACUACAGCAGUUGUAUUUUUCACUACAUAAUAAAUUGUUUCUAUCCAAAACUG
Molecule: long non-coding RNA, 1869 nt
Organism: Neopsephotus bourkii (Bourke's parrot)
Lineage: Eukaryota; Metazoa; Chordata; Aves; Psittaciformes; Psittacidae
Exons: 2
Source: RefSeq, a predicted model, not a curated record